GAUGGGUGUUGCCUUCCUCCAAGAUACAUAAGGAGUUCGCAAAGGGAAUUGGGACGGCCUGACCCUGUCCAUGAACUCAAUACCCAAGACGAGUGGAUAAUCGUCCAUGGUCACGAUUGAGAAGUUUAUGUGGCCGUGCCAAUUGCCUAAGCGAACCGGCACAUUGCAGGCAACUCCAAAGGUUUUUGUUGGUGCAGCAUUGACGCCCUUGAGCCAACCUCGGCUUGUCUCNNNN
RNAcentral lists this long non-coding RNA (235 nucleotides) under Nicotiana benthamiana. RNAcentral's name for it is "long non-coding RNA (NBEN_LNC041384)". Lineage: Eukaryota; Viridiplantae; Streptophyta; Magnoliopsida; Solanales; Solanaceae. The record is from RNAcentral.